Ailuropoda melanoleuca (giant panda) is the source of this 226-nucleotide long non-coding RNA. RefSeq lists it as uncharacterized. The transcript has 3 exons. The record is from RefSeq and is a predicted model, not a curated record. NCBI's taxonomy places the organism in Eukaryota, Metazoa, Chordata, Mammalia, Carnivora, Ursidae.
CCUGAGGGCAGACCUUGUUAAGAAGGAGAGAGGCAGUUCUUUCUCCCCUCCCCCCACCGAAGGGGGUACACGGGGAUUUCCGCCCUCCCCCCUCAUGUCUGUACUGUGGGAGUCUGGCCAAUGUCCUGGAGGUGCUGGUUCCUGUAACAGUUUCUACCCCUGAUUCUUCUUUCAGGUGUCUUUAAAGUUUGCUUUGGCGAAAGCGACAGUAGCAAACAUGAGGGAG